RNAcentral lists this small RNA (2275 nucleotides) under Pongo abelii (Sumatran orangutan). RNAcentral describes it as "processed transcript". The record is from RNAcentral. Lineage: Eukaryota; Metazoa; Chordata; Mammalia; Primates; Hominidae.
CUCUCGGCUUUCGGCUCGGAGGAGGCCAAGGUGCAACUUUCUUCGGUCGUCCCGAAUCCGGGUUCAUCCGACACCAGCCGCCUCCACCAUGCCGCCGAAGUUCGACCCCAACGAGAUCAAAGUCGGUGCGUGCUCUAGUUGUGGCCGGGGCUGCGGGAUGGAGCAUUCCCUCGGCCCCGCCGCGUGUGCAAAGCUUUCCCCGUAUGGGGCUCUUAAAGCCAAUGCCUCCUAGAGGCCUUCCCGGUGCUGCGCCGCCCCGGCCAAGCCUCAGCCUUUCUGGGCUUUAGCUUCUUCACGUGUAGGUGGGGAGGGAGGACUGGACCACCUGUGGCGGCUUGGGAGCCCGCACGCCCUAGGGUAAGGCUUGUCUCCGGGCGUUUCGCCCCACUGGCCUGGAUUCGCGGGCGACGGGGCUCUCUCCACGCCUCCCCGGUGUGAGUUUCGGAGCUGCCCACACCCGAGGGAGGAGCGGGUGGCCCGCCUCGCCCUCUGUGCUGUUUCGAGAAGAGGCAGAGGGUGGUAUGUCCAGCCCCGGAAAGACGCUGAGAGGGCUGUGGCUCGGGGGCUCCCUCUGCAGAGACACUAACUCUUCUUUUCUCCCAGUAUACCUGAGGUGCACCGGAGGUGAAGUCGGUGCCACUUCUGCCCUGGCCCCCAAGAUCGGCCCCCUGGGUCUGGUACGUUAUCCCCUCCAAGGGGCAUUUUCUCACAUUGGUUUCACUUUUUAAGCGCCGGCCCGUGGAGUCACGACUGUGCCAGAGGUGCUGUCGUGGCUUGGACUGUCACAGUAGGCCUGAGCCACUGAACUAGUACUAGGUACCUUAGGAAGAUCGUGUGUGAAAAAUCGAACCCGGUGCCUUUAAAUUGUAAUUAGCUCCAUGUGUCUCCACUGCUGCUUUGGUGUACCUGAGGGGUGGGCCCAAGGGGGUUUUGAAGUUAGGAGUGGCUUAGUGACUGGGCAGCCAAUAUCUGUAUUUCCUCGUCAGGAAGUGGGCAUGGCAUUGUUGGGAAGAUUAAAUGGGGUGUGGGUGAAGAUCCAGUGAGCGUUUCCAGCUGUGUUGUAGAUGUAAAUCUAGCAGUUAAUGUGACAGGCUGUGUCUCAUGCCUGCUGAGCAACUGCUGGCUUCCGCGUCAUUCUGUCCUCUUGGAUUUUCCUGGAUUUCAUUAGGCCUUUAUUUGAUCCUUGCACAGUGGUCCCCUGCCCCAAAUGCUCUUCCCCAUUGCUCUUUUUAAACCUGUAUCUUAACUAUUCUUCCUUGGCCGUUAGCUGGCACUUAAGGGACACUUAGCCUCCUGUUGAGGCUAAGGAUUACUAGAGAAGAAUUUCAGAGUAGCAAAUAAUCAGACCUCUAUCCAGGCAGAUGGACGUGGGUGGUCUGACAUGGGAGCCUAGUAUUUUGAAAGCUCCUUAGGUGAUUCUAAUGUCAGCAGGGCUGAAAAUCUCCCUCCUUAAGCACAUGGGCACUUAGGAAGGAGUCUAGGUUACAUUGUGGCCAAGUCUGCAGUUUACAGUUCUGGACAAGACAACCCCAACCCCCAAUUUAUGCUAUGGUGAUAGCUGUGCUCUGAUUGAGAAGGUGCCCUUAGGUACUUGAGAUGGCUUCCUUUGUUGCCAAGUGAGAAGUGGUGGGCAGGUUUCAAGGCUGUGGUUCACCUCUGGACACCAUGUUGAUUACAUGCCUUUAUUUCUAGUCUCCAAAAAAGGUUGGUGAUGACAUUGCCAAGGCAACAGGUGACUGGAAGGGCCUGAGGAUUACAGUGAAACUGACCAUUCAGAACAGACAGGCCCAGAUUGAGGUGGUGCCUUCUGCCUCUGCCCUGAUCAUCAAAGCCCUCAAGGAACCACCAAGAGACAGAAAGAAACAGAAAAACAUUAAACACAGUGGGAAUAUCACUUUUGAUGAGAUCGUCAACAUUGCUCGACAGAUGCGGCACCGAUCCUUAGCCAGAGAACUCUCUGGAACCAUUAAAGAGAUCCUGGGGACUGCCCAGUCUGUGGGCUGUAAUGUUGAUGGCCGCCACCCUCAUGACAUCAUAGAUGACAUCAAUAGUGGUGCUGUGGAAUGCCCAGCCGUAAGUGACAUUUUCAUUGUUACAAUAGGGGUGAAAGGGGGGCCACCCAGUGUAUUCACAGAGAUAAGCUGGGAAGUUUUAGAAAUGGUUACUGGUGGGGUGGGAUAAUCCUUUUAAACUUUCUUUUUUACUGAUUUUUUUUUUCUUUCCCACAGAGUUAAGCACAAAGGAAAAUAUUUCAAUAAAGGAUCUUUUGACAACU